GAUGAACGCUGGCGGCGUGCCUAAUACAUGCAAGUCGAGCGAACAGACGAGGAGCUUGCUCCUCUGACGUUAGCGGCGGACGGGUGAGUAACACGUGGAUAACCUACCUAUAAGACUGGGAUAACUUCGGGAAACCGGAGCUAAUACCGGAUAAUAUAUUGAACCGCAUGGUUCAAUAGUGGAGGACGGUUUUGCUGUCACUUAUAGAUGGAUCCGCGCCGCAUUAGCUAGUUGGUAAGGUAACGGCUUACCAAGGCAACGAUGCGUAGCCGACCUGAGAGGGUGAUCGGCCACACUGGAACUGAGACACGGUCCAGACUCCUACGGGAGGCAGCAGUAGGGAAUCUUCCGCAAUGGGCGAAAGCCUGACGGAGCAACGCCGCGUGAGUGAUGAAGGUCUUCGGAUCGUAAAACUCUGUUAUUAGGGAAGAACAAAUGUGUAAGUAACUAUGCACGUCUUGACGGUACCUAAUCAGAAAGCCACGGCUAACUACGUG
Molecule: ribosomal RNA, 497 nt
Filed under: uncultured bacterium
Lineage: Bacteria
Description: partial 16S ribosomal RNA
Rfam family: Bacterial small subunit ribosomal RNA
Source: RNAcentral